UCUAUGACUCUAAGACUGCCUUGCAAAUUCAAAGGAGUGGAUGCUGGAAUUUUAAAUUGCUCACGAUUUUAAAGUCUGUUACACACACAUACAGGUCAGUGCACAUUCUUGAAAUUAUUUUGUAUGGGGUGGGGAGCAAGUGGCAUGUCCAUGUUUGACACUCCUCUACUCCUCCAUCCACACCCUGCAACAUCCUGGAAGUGUUUCUAAAGACACUUCAUAGUGGAGUUGAGGAAGAGAACAGAUGCAAUGGUACACGAGGCCACAGCUGCCAGAUGCCCACUGAUGCGAUUCCAGUAAAGAUGUAUAUGUUGUCGGCAUUCAUUCCCUAAUGACAACCAGUCAUGAUUCACCAACUGUCGGUCAGCAGUGGUGUUUUAUUUUUGCAUGAGCAGUGCCACAGUAUGACCAAUCCUACUGUAGUUUCCAGUAGGCCUCUGCAACAUAAAGGAUCCAACACAGUGACAUUUUUGCAAUAGGUGGAUGUCUGACAGCAGAAUAUGAGUUCAUUACUGCUUCAAAGAAAUCCAAGAGAGGAGAAACAUACCCUUCAUAUUCUGUGACAGCUGAGGAAGAAAAUGCUAAUAUAUGCUGCCUAACCCGCUGAGUUCUUCCAACCUUCUAUGAAUAUGGCAAUGACCAGAUAUGUUGAGUGAUGGAUAAACAUUAGAUAGGUUAACUAUUCUACACUUUUUUGGAGUAUUGUGAUAAUUUAUGUCCACUUCAGAAAACAGAUGGAUCCUUGAAGUACUUAAUUUCCUUUGUGUUGCACAUUUCAGUUUCCAUUUUUGAGCUAAUGAUUGAGUCUCUUCUGACUGAGGUGAGAAUGACACAAACUGAGCCAUGAUUGACAAGUUUACGAAAGCAUAAAUCUAGAUAUUGGACUGCAUUUAUUUUUGAUGCAAUAAAAUAAUAUUGUGUUUAGUGCUUAUGCCAUAUUGGAACCCUUCAUUGUAAUAUUUGUAAUUGUAAUGUUCAAUAAAAACCUACAGCAUUACCACCCAGAAAGAAGCAUUAAAAUAUGAUCUGCGGGUUCCUGACUGGGUCAUAAUCAAUGCAGAACAACUGGUGAUAUAUGGCUCUGUUUGAAGUCAAGAAUUCAAUGAAAGGUGCCAGCCUUUGAUGUUACAUUCCCAUGGGACCUAGGCAGCAGCAAUAGACAUGGGAAAAGCUAGCGUGCAGUAAAGAAAGAGAAAGUUCCCAAAUUACUUGGAGAAAAAAGUGCUCAUUAAUGAGAAAAUGUCGUGAGGGUCAUGAAACUAUACUAACACCAUUUGGCAAGAUUUUUUAAAUGAUCUCCUCCAGUGAGAAUCCACACAUAUAGGGCACAAAAGAAAAUUUGUGAAUUUGAGUUAUUUUGUAUGACCUGCAGAUGACUAAAAAUACUGCCCUCUCAUACUGUCAAAGAUGUGUGUGCACAUUUUGUAUGACCUGCAGACGACUAAAUAAUGCUGCCCUCUCAUAAAUAUAUACGCACACACGCAGGCUACAACACUCGUGAACUAAUUUGUCUUUUGCAGGAGCAGACACAUAUCCCCCCGCAUCUCUUCAUCAUAAGAGGUGUCGUACUUGUGCAGUCGAACUGUGCAGUGAGCUGAUACUGGGAGGCAUAGACAAAAGGAAAAGACACAUGUGAAUGUCUGUCAACUGAGCCAAGUCUGGUUCAGGAGAUUGAAACAAUGGUGGGAUGGUCUUGGUGCAGGUAAUAGCACCUUCAUCUAUCCACUUCAAGAUGAUAGCUAGGUGUCCACAACAUUAUUAUCUCUCACAAGGUCACUAAAUCAUUUCCCACCACAGCCUCUCACGUAUGCUUCACACCCAGUCAUCCCCAGCUGCUCCUCAAACCAUUGGCACCAAUCUGAAGCCAGGAAAGAUUUGUGGGUUGUCAAAGUCAUUUAAUGUAUGUAAAUGCAAAAUGAAAGAAGAAAAUCGGAAUACAGCCACAGAGAGAAUACUGCAAUAGAGCGCUGGGAUACUGAAAGUCACUUACACAUAUUUUCAAAUGAGAAAGGCAUUAAAUGUACAACUUUGCAAUGGAAAAAUUACUAUUAUUUGUAUUAUUUGAUUUUCCUUGGUUAUGAAUUAUCUUCAAUACACUAGCGACGUUCAAAUGCAUUCUCAUUUGGCCCAUAAAAUGUUUCAGUGUAGAGGUACGGCCGAUUGGUAUGGCAGCAAUUUACAUCGCUCAGAACCCUAUGGUAUCUUACCUAGAAAUGGUUACUAAUUAAAUCCUUUUUACAUCUACAUGCUCAAGCAAUCCAUUGAUUGUUGCCAAACUAUUAUCUAACACUUUUACCAAUAGAAAUUGUUGACUUAGCGCGGCACAUUUGUUUGUGAAAUAAUUUGAUUUACAGUAUGUCAAAGGUGUCAUGUCGUUUAGAGCCAUGUAUGUGACCGCCAAUGUAAAGUUGAUUUCUAUUAGUCAUAGAAUCAUACAGCAUGGAAACAGGCCCAUUGGCCCAACUUGCCCAUGCCGACCAAGAUGUCCCAUCUACAUUAAUCCCAACUGUCUGCAUUUGGCCCAUAUCUUUCCAAACCUUAUUAUCCACAUACCUGCCCAAAUGAUUACAGGAUUAUAGGGUUCUUAUUCCAAUUUCAGGCUUCUUCAUCCCUAUUGGUUUGACCUAAUAAUACCUAAUUACCUAAUAAAGGUAAACUUUGUGGGAUGGACUCAUUUGAAUGAAAGAUUGAAAUAUAUGAGAAAGUUUGCAAGGAGUAAAGUUGCACAUUUACUGUAGUGCCUUUCUCAUUUGACAAUUGUGUUAGUGGAUUUCAAUAUUCAAGUGCUGCAUUGUAGUAUUAUCUGUGGUUGUUUUCUGGUAGCUAGAAGGUUGUAUUCUUUCUGUUUCAUGUUGCCCAUUUUAUUGGUGCCUCAUUUAUAUUAAGAAUUGAAAAUAACAGCUAACGGUGGGAGCAUUAGCCAAAAGUAAUUGUUUGUGUGGGAAAGAAUUACUUUCCGCUGAUCAAGUUCAAUUGUUGUGAACUGAGUGAAUGACGAUGCUUCUACUGCAGAGACAUUCAGUUCUUCUUUAUUGUAUAUUUUGAAUUGAUGAAGUGGUGUUAUGUUACAGAACUCCAUGAGGGAUUUCAUAUUGCGGAAUAAGUUUGGACCUCUUGGCUACUGCAGUGACACUUAUUUGGGUUAUAGUACUUGUCAAUAAGUGUUUGCUGACCCAGAAUGGAGAGCCUUGCUAUGUUCUACUCCAAAUUUAUGAUUAUGUUCAUAAACUUCCUCAUGUUUUCACAAGCAGAGCCCUUUUUUGUGCUUGUUUCAUAGACGUUACUUUGCCAUCUGAAUUAUUUUCUAUCUUCACUGAGCUUUGUCAGCUCUUGCAGACCACUGCUGUAUCCUGAUUUGUUACAGCAAAACAAUCGAGCUGCUAAACUAAUUACCAGAAUGGUUGCCCUGACAAUGACAACUGCUUUUCCUGCCUUUCCCAGUCACAUGACCUGAGGUAUUCCAGCCAAGAAACUCCCAGAGUCUUGAGUCAUUAUUGCACUCAUCCUUUUGCUUAUACCUGCAUCCUGCACUGACCAACAUUUUCUUGUGUUUUCAGAUAUUAUUUCCACAGCUGUAGCAAUAUUAUAGGCUAUUUCAAAUGUAGUCUCUAAAAAGCCAAGGCUGCAUGGAUUAAUCUACAAGUCUACAUGCCAGUUCAGAACUCACAAUGAGAUAUCAAGUGUCCGUGGACUGCAACCAAUUUGUCAACAAUCUAGUGGAUGUGGUCUUGUAUCGGGUCUUUUCCAAAGUGCUCAAAUGAGGACUAUUAUGGCUGAAGAAGGACAGAUAAAUAUGGAUAUGCUUGGCACAAUGAGAGUAGCCGAGAAUGUGCCUGUCAUCAACCUUUCACAGCAUUUGACAUGAAGCAUGGUGGCUAUUCGUGUCAGUCAGAAAAUGGUCUGCAUGUAUCCAACCACCCUCUUCCACUAUGGCACGGGAUUCCAGUAUAAGUAAGGGGAUGUGAUGGCAGCAGUACAAUCUCUUUUCCAGCAGAACAGGUUCUCUGUUGC
Long non-coding RNA from Leucoraja erinaceus (little skate), 4011 nucleotides. RefSeq lists it as uncharacterized. Lineage: Eukaryota; Metazoa; Chordata; Chondrichthyes; Rajiformes; Rajidae. The transcript is spliced from 5 exons. The record is from RefSeq and is a predicted model, not a curated record.